Molecule: ribosomal RNA, 424 nt
Filed under: uncultured Barnesiella sp.
Lineage: Bacteria; Pseudomonadati; Bacteroidota; Bacteroidia; Bacteroidales; Barnesiellaceae
Description: bacterial SSU rRNA
Rfam family: Bacterial small subunit ribosomal RNA
Source: RNAcentral
UGGGGGAUAUUGGUCAAUGGAGGAAACUCUGAACCAGCGACGCCGCGUGAGGGAAGAAGGUCUUCGGAUUGUAAACCUUUGUUGACAGGGACGAUACAAGACGGUACCUGUCGAGGAAGCCACGGCUAACUACGUGCCAGCAGCCGCGGUAAUACGUAGGUGGCGAGCGUUAUCCGGAUUUAUUGGGUUUAAAGGGUGCGCAGGCGGCGCGCCAAGUCAGCGGUCAAAGUUCCGGGCUCAACCCGGUGUCGCCGUUGAAACUGGCGUGCUCGAGUGCGUGCGAGGAAGGCGGAAUGCGUUGUGUAGCGGUGAAAUGCAUAGAUAUGACGCAGAACUCCGAUUGCGAAGGCAGCUUUCCAGCGCGCUACUGACGCUGAGGCACGAAAGCGUGGGGAUCGAACAGGGAUUAGAUACCCUGGGUAGU